RNAcentral lists this long non-coding RNA (1420 nucleotides) under Marmota monax (woodchuck). Lineage: Eukaryota; Metazoa; Chordata; Mammalia; Rodentia; Sciuridae. The record is from RNAcentral.
CUUUCAGAAUUUCUCCAUGUUGCAUUGUGCUGGAGGACAAGAACUUGUGGGAAACAAAGUGACAAUUCCUGACUGUGUUGAGAAACCUCCUUUAAUCAAGACUUCAAAAAUAAACAAACCAAAACCAAAACCAAAACCAAAACAAAACAAAACAAAAAAACCCAAAAAGAACCACGGUGUGUCAGAUGAUGACAGGAAAGAGCAAAUCAUUACAACUGGGAAGAAAUCUGUGGAAACCAUAGGUUUUAACUCUGUGAUUAAACAGCAGAGUCAACUGAGCAAGUUACAAGAAUCUUCUCUAAGGAAACGUGAAGUAAUUUGUGCUGGUUAAAAAGGAGGUAUUGCCAAAACAAAUCCUAAAAUUACAAGAGUAAAUGUCUCGAAAAACCUGCUGUCACAUGUAGUGAAGUGAUCCAUUUUGCUGAUUAGCUCCAAAACCUGGUCCCUCUUAACACAGUGAAAAUAAACUGCAGUUUCCCUCUGGCUCACCGUCUCUAACAGGAACAUUUCCUGCACUGAAUGGUUUAGUUCUCAGUCAAACAGGAAUAACACAGGUCAAGGUGCCGCAGUGUGCCCCUGGGUGGUAAUUUCUUGAGGAGCUGAACCUGGACUCCAGCAGCACCUUCAUUUCAGAAAGGCCAAAUGAUGCUCCACAGAUGCUCACGUUGUUAGACCUUUCCUCUAAUCCGUCAAUUGAUGAAAACCAGCUGUUCUCGAAAGCCUGUCUGCCCAGAUUAGAGCAACUAAUCCUUUAUGACAUUGGAAUUUCUUCUAUACAUUUUUAGAUGCUGGAAUUGGAAAUAUCCAUGUUCCUGUCUCUGCAGUGCUUUGCAGUAAAUGACAAUCAGAUAUCACAAUGGCCAUUUAUCAAAUGAGCUAGAGAAGUUACAGAGCCUACGAGCUCUGUCCUGCCUAAGAACCCCCUGACUGAAGGCAGCAAAGGAGCCCAGACCAGCAGCUCGUCAUUGCCAAAGUCUGAAGACCCCUGAACAAAUGUGAGAUUCUUUCAGAGAAAAGGCAAGAAGCUGAGCUUGAUACCGAAAAGCUUUUGGAAAUGAGUGGGAAAAUGCUGGUGGACAUCAGGAUCCAGAGGAAAACAGACCAAAUGAAGAAGGCCUUACAGUCUGUCCUAGGUACCAGAUCCUCUGCCAUACAUGGAAGAUAAAACAUCCAAACCAACUUGAACAGAAGGCUCUAGAAAGGCAACUGCCAGCACUAGGAAAUGACCUAUCGUCACUGCAGUUUUAUUCUGUGGAAAAUGGAGAUUGUCUAUUAGUGAGAUGUUAACAACCACCUUUAACCAUUUGGUGGCCAGACUAUCAUGACUGGGGUUCCCUGGAAAGAAAUGAUUUAUUGUAAUAGUUCUACUGUAAAAAAAGUGAGACUUACAACUUGCCCAAAGUAUAAAUUUUUCACUAGG